Bufo bufo (common toad) is the source of this 135-nucleotide long non-coding RNA. RefSeq lists it as uncharacterized. Lineage: Eukaryota; Metazoa; Chordata; Amphibia; Anura; Bufonidae. The transcript has 4 exons. The record is from RefSeq and is a predicted model, not a curated record.
GGGCUCUGCUGCACACCCUUCCCCUAGCAGGGGCUAAACUCCUCACUCUCUUAGAGAGAGCUAGAAUGGAAAGAGGGGUUCCAUUCUAGGUAAACUAGCUCUGCCAUGUAUGCCGCCAUCUGCUGGUAAACCAGG